UAGACAACGUGGAUAUAUUCUGGGCAAGCACUAUUCAAUAGCAUUUAAAAAGCCAGAAGCAAAGAGCACGCGUCAGUACCCAUCACAACAAUUAAUGCACAUGUAUCCAGCCAAAAGCAUUUGAAAGAGUAGUGAUUUGGAAGCUACAAGCAUGUACACAUCUCGUUCGAAUCCGUGUUCAUAGUCGGUCAUCACAUCACAGUCACAGCUAGCUCCUAGCUAGCCUCCUAUUUAGAAAGUUGGAACCGCAUGCAUCCACGGCCUCUUGCGUUUCCUGGAGCUUUCGGCCUCGUUUCCGGCCAAUCAGUUAACACAACACACAGCUGCCUCGCGGUUUCGCACAACACAUACAGUGCUUCGCUAUCGCUACUUCAGAAAGGUGACUGGAGGACGGUGAGCCACUCAGCUCAGGAUGAGAGCCGUACGCCGUCGCCCACUGUAUUUCGUCGACCUUUCCACUUGGUUCCCGGGCAGCAAAUAACAUCUAUCUCUGCAUCUCUAUAUAAACAGCCCUACCGGUAAUUAAGAAGAAGAACGAGGUACGCAACCAACCACCACCACACCGGCCACCUCCUGGAUAUCAUUCACCACUUGUUCGCUUCGUUCAUCCCAUCUUCAGACAUCAUCCGUAGCUAGCGGACACCUGCCUACAUUAUUAGGUGCUGUGUGAUCACCAUCAGUUGGUGGGGGUGCAUCGCGGGGCAUGUUCUAUCUCUCAGCAGAUACCUGCAGAUCAGCUUCUGACCAGUACUGUGUCCUCUCUAAUGGGGGAAAUGGUGGCUUCAGCCCUUGCUCAGGAGGGCGUGAGCAGGCUGUCCUCGUACAUCUCAACCAAGCUCGAUGACAGGGCAUCCAGAGCGCACAUCGUCGCUAGGCUCGAGAUGGCACUCUAUCGCUUGGAGUUUGCCCUUGAGAGGACCGCCAAGAUGCCAAUCACAUACGUCUCGCUGCUCCGCUAGAGUACAACUUGACUAGCGCAUCCGACGAGUUAUCGCAUUUAUUCCAAGAGCAAACUAUUUUAUUCGGUU
This is a long non-coding RNA of Panicum virgatum (switchgrass), 1028 nucleotides long. RefSeq lists it as uncharacterized. NCBI's taxonomy places the organism in Eukaryota, Viridiplantae, Streptophyta, Magnoliopsida, Poales, Poaceae. The record is from RefSeq and is a predicted model, not a curated record. The transcript has 2 exons.